GAUUAUGAAAAUAGUUUUAUGUAUGGUUGACAUAUUUUUUGAAUGAACGACAAGUACUUGAAUGGCUGAGUAAAAUAACUCAUAUCCAAGCAUUUGAGGAGAGGAAUCGAAGACUCAAGACCAUCUCUCUUUUCGUAUUGUUUAUUGUGAAAAUGAUUUGAUUAAGUUAUAAGUUUGUGGAAAAAUGACAAUUGUUUGACUAACCGAGUAAGAGAACUCGUAUUCAAACGAUUAAGGAGAGAAGUUGAAGGCUCAAAGUCAUCUCCCUUUUCAUUUCGUUAUUAUGAAAAUGAUUUGAUUUAAUUGAGUUAGAGGUUUGU
RNAcentral lists this long non-coding RNA (320 nucleotides) under Lathyrus oleraceus (garden pea). RNAcentral's name for it is "Pisum sativum (pea) long non-coding RNA (PSAT_LNC029113)". The record is from RNAcentral. Lineage: Eukaryota; Viridiplantae; Streptophyta; Magnoliopsida; Fabales; Fabaceae.